This 76-nucleotide transfer RNA is filed under the name Streptomyces tauricus. RNAcentral's name for it is "tRNA-Gln". The record is from RNAcentral. Lineage: Bacteria; Bacillati; Actinomycetota; Actinomycetes; Kitasatosporales; Streptomycetaceae.
UUGACGAGGCCGUCGCAGGAGAGCAGCACCGCGCUUCUGGUGUGCGGGACGCGCUGUACGAGGCCGCUCAUCAGCC